CUGGCGGCAGGCCUAACCAUGCAAGUCGAGCGGUAACAGGGGUAGCUUGCUACCCGCUGACGAGCGGCGGACGGGUGAGUAAUGCAUAGGAAUCUGCCCGAUAGUGGGGGAUAACCUGGGGAAACCCAGGCUAAUACCGCAUACGUCCUACGGGAGAAAGGGGGCUUCGGCUCCCGCUAUUGGAUGAGCCUAUGUCGGAUUAGCUAGUUGGUAAGGUAAUGGCUUACCAAGGCAACGAUCCGUAGCUGGUCUGAGAGGAUGAUCAGCCACAUCGGGACUGAGACACGGCCCGAACUCCUACGGGAGGCAGCAGUGGGGAAUAUUGGACAAUGGGGGCAACCCUGAUCCAGCCAUGCCGCGUGUGUGAAGAAGGCCCUCGGGUUGUAAAGCACUUUCAGCGAGGAAGAACGCCUAUCGGUUAAUACCCGGUAGGAAAGACAUCACUCGCAGAAGAAGCACCGGCUAACUCCGUGCCAGCAGCCGCGGUAAUACGGAGGGUGCAAGCGUUCAAUCGAAUUACUGGGCGUAAAGCGCGCGUAAGUGGCUUGAUAGGCCGGUUGUG
RNAcentral lists this ribosomal RNA (562 nucleotides) under Halomonas sp. Its description in RNAcentral is "bacterial SSU rRNA". It matches the Rfam family "Bacterial small subunit ribosomal RNA", at positions 36 to 596 of the family's 1533-position model. Lineage: Bacteria; Pseudomonadati; Pseudomonadota; Gammaproteobacteria; Oceanospirillales; Halomonadaceae. The record is from RNAcentral.